GAAACGACUGCUAAGACUGGAUAGGAGACAAGUAGGCAUCUUCCUGUUUUUAAAAGACCUAGCAAUAGGUAUGCUUAGGGAGGAGCUUGCGUCACAUUAGUUAGUUGGUGGGGUAAAGGCCUACCAAGACUAUGAUGUGUAGCCGGGCUGAGAGGUUGAACGGCCACAUUGGGGCUGAGACACGGCCCAAACUCCUACGGGAGGCAGCAGUAGGGAAUUUUCGGCAAUGGAGGAAACUCUGACCGAGCAACGCCGCGUGAACGAUGAAGUAUUUCGGUACGUAAAGUUCUUUUAUUAGGGAAGAAUAAAUGAUGGAAAAAUCAUUCUGACGGUACCUAAUGAAUAAGCCCCGGCUAACUAUGUGCCAGCAGCCGCGGUAAUACAUAGGGGGCAAGCGUUAUCCGGAAUUAUUGGGCGUAAAGGGUGCGUAGGCGGUUAAAUAAGUUUAUGGUCUAAGUGCAAUGCUCAACAUUGUGAUGCUAUAAAAACUGUUUAGCUAGAGUAAGAUAGAGGCAAGUGGAAUUCCAUGUGUAGUGGUAAAAUGCGUAAAUAUAUGGAGGAACACCAGUAGCGAAGGCGGCUUGCUGGGUCUUUACUGACGCUGAGGCACGAAAGCGUGGGGAGCAAACAGGAUUAGAUACCCUGGUAGUCCACGCCGUAAACGAUGAGUACUAAACGUUGGGUAAAACCAGUGUUGAAGUUAACACAUUAAGUACUCCGCCUGAGUAGUACGUACGCAAGUAUGAAACUUAAAGGAAUUGACGGGACUCCGCACAAGCGGUGGAUCAUGUUGUUUAAUUCGAAGGUACCCGAAAAACCUCACCAGGUCUUGACACGCUUCUGCAAAGCUGUAGAAACACAGUGGAGGUUAUCAGUUGCACAGGUGGUGCAUGGUUGUCGUCAGCUCGUGUCGUGAGAUGUUGGGUUAAGUCCCGCAACGAGCGCAACCCUUAUUGUUAGUUACCAGCACGUAAUGGUGGGGACUUUAGCAAGACUGCCAGUGAUAAAUUGGAGGAAGGUGGGGACGACGUCAAAUCAUCAUGCCCCUUAUGACCUGGGCUACAAACGUGAUACAAUGGCUGUUACAAAGGGUAGCUGAAGCGCAAGUUUUUGGCGAAUCUCAAAAAAACAGUCUCAGUUCGGAUUGAAGUCUGCAACUCGACUUCAUGAAGUUGGAAUCGCUAGUAAUCGCGAAUCAGCAUGUCGCGGUGAAUACGUUCUCGGGGUUUGUACACACCGCCCGUCA
RNAcentral lists this ribosomal RNA (1246 nucleotides) under 'Capsicum annuum' yellows phytoplasma. RNAcentral describes it as "bacterial SSU rRNA". It matches the Rfam family "Bacterial small subunit ribosomal RNA", at positions 153 to 1399 of the family's 1533-position model. Lineage: Bacteria; Bacillati; Mycoplasmatota; Mollicutes; Acholeplasmatales; Acholeplasmataceae. The record is from RNAcentral.